GUCGAGAAUAAUUCACAAUGGGGGAAACCCUGAUGGUGCAACGCCGCGUGGAGGAUGAAGGUCUUCGGAUUGUAAACUCCUGUCAUCUGGGAGUAAGACCUGACGGUGAAUAGCCGGCAGGGUUGAUAGUACCAGAAGAGGAAGGGACGGCUAACUUCGUGCCAGCAGCCGCGGUAAUACGAAGGUCCCAAGCGUUGUUCGGAAUCACUGGGCGUAAAGGGAGCGUAGGCGGCGUGGUAAGUCAGAUGUGAAAUCCCGGGGCUCAACCCCGGAACUGCAUCCGAUACUGCCAUGCUUGAGGGUUGGAGAGGUAGCUGGAAUUCUCGGUGUAGCAGUGAAAUGCGUGGAUAUCGAGAGGAACACUCGUGGCGAAGGCGAGCUACUGGACAACAUCUGACGCUGAGGCUCGAAGGCCAGGGGAGCAAAAGGGAUUAGAAACCCUAGUAGUCC
Molecule: ribosomal RNA, 450 nt
Filed under: uncultured bacterium
Lineage: Bacteria
Description: partial 16S ribosomal RNA
Rfam family: Bacterial small subunit ribosomal RNA
Source: RNAcentral